This is a long non-coding RNA of Mauremys mutica (yellowpond turtle), 1825 nucleotides long. RefSeq lists it as uncharacterized. The transcript is spliced from 3 exons. Lineage: Eukaryota; Metazoa; Chordata; Testudines; Geoemydidae. The record is from RefSeq and is a predicted model, not a curated record.
GUAUGGAUUGGAUGAAUGGACUGUAAGGUGGAUAGAAAGCUGGCUAGAUUGUCGGGCUCAAUGGGAGUGAUCAAUGGCUGGAUGUCUAGUUGGCAGCCAGUAUCAAGCGGAGUGCCCCAGGCGGGUGUAGAGGUAGAAAUUCUAAAGCCAUCUUGGAUCCUCUAAAGGACAACUAGGCAUCCAUGUUUGUGAGCCUUCUUGUUCCCUCCCCACUCCAAUUUAGCGCCUUUUCCAUGUUUAGGUGGGAAAGACACUGGCUGUCAAUCAUCUAAUCCACCUAGUAACCAAAAGUCUAUAUAAGGCGGUGUUCAGAUCAGAUCAGGGCUGCCCGUCUGCGUGGCAGAAUGCAGAACAGACAAGGGUAGGCCAUUUGCCCCACGUGGACUACUUUAAGUAGAGGAUUAUUCACACACACACUUAAUCCAUCUUUUGUAAGAUUUGCUUACUGCAUGCACGAUGACGCAGGUAGAGAGAGGGGGAGUUCAACAACUUACCUGAAAGACGCUCGUCCGGCCCUCCUUUAAGAUCCUUCUUCCAUCCAGGGGAUCCAGUGGUCCUGGCGUGCCGUACCAACCUAAGGAGAAAAAGGACAUCAGUACUUCAAGCUGCUAAAGAUGGUAUUAUAAUCAUUGGGGACCGGUUUGAAGACUUUUCUUCAGACUUCAUUGAGAAAUUCCAAGUUGAGAGAAGCAGGGAUGUGAAUAGAGUCCAUGGUUAUGGAGGAUGGGCUGAACGGAAACAAAACUGGGAACAUAUAUUUGUAGUCUAACAGCAGCUGUGGAGGGUCAUUUCGCUCUUGCAAAUUUGCCUAUGAGGUUUGUGUGGAAAAAAUAAAAGUGUUUUGCCGUGAUCUUCCUUCAAGCAGUCAACAGGCCUCCCCCCUGGAGAUGCAUCCAUGAUGCUGCAUAAGUAGCCAGGGAGUUUGCAGCAGAGCAACACAAGUUGUAACUUCCCACAAAGUGAUGGAAAGUGCUGCCCAUUCAACUCCAGGAGUGAGAAAGUGGAGCUGGACACUGAAUAUGACUCUCUUGUGUAGCAGCAUACACUACCAGCAACAUGCUUGUCCUUUUAUCCAGCACAUCAGCAGGACUGAGAAGAAUGUUAAACACUAGCUACUAUUUUCCUACUUUCUCUUUUUGACAUUCAAGCAUGCCGGGUGGCAGUUGAUUGCUGUCUUCCAUCUCAGAAGAGGCUGCAUUUCAGUGAUGUCCUACAUUCCUGUAUCCUACUAGCCUUACUUGCAGGAGUAGUCUCAUUGAGAAAAUGAACGCUUGAGUGCCCAGAUACUAUACCGAUAAGUAGAACUGGGCAAUUUUUUUUUUUUGGUGAACAGAAAAUGAAAACAUUGCAAAUUUGACAUGAAAUUGCUGAAUAGUUUCAGCCAAAAUCUUUGUUUUCAGGAUUGAGAUGCCAUUCACAAAAUGGCUGGAGGAUGAGACAGUGGUAGUGCCUGCCUUGUAAAGUUUAGCUCAGCGCACUCACCUAAGAUAUGGAAUAGGAGUCAGGUUCAAUUGCCCCCCUCUGUCUGAUCUGAAGAAGGGAUUUAAACUUGGAUCUCACAUACAGCAGAAAAGUUCCCUUACUCCUGGGGCUAUUGGAUCAUCUGGAGUGGGUUUUUCUCAGUCUCUACUGUUGAAGUGGUUCCACUUUGUAUAACUAAUUAGUCAUUGGAGGUUGGGACAAAGACAGAGAGUGAGAAUGACCACGGCUGCCCAGAGGAUUCGGGGGCCUGAGGCAAAUGGGGGGGAGCUGCAGCGCUUGUAUUCACUCGAUGGCGGUCUGUGUCCUCGGCGGCAUUUCAGCGGUGGGGGGCCCUUCAGUUGCU